AAUAACUCAGAUUAGAAAUAUGUUAGUGUGACAUGUGCAAUAUCUUCUAGGUUUGGCUUUUAUUUUGAUGGGGGGAUUUCGGGUCCGACGACACGCCCACUGCUGCUGAGCUGCGCGUUGACAGGGAGCACACCUGUGCCACCUAAUUAGUGCAGCAUGUUGGUGGCUUUAUAAAAAGCACAUUUGAGUUUGGCUUUUUAACUUGUCUUCCGUGUGCGUCCUGUGUGGGCAGAAAAGGUCUUCUGGCUAUAUCUUCCUGUCACUUUCCCCUGGUGCGGACAAAGAGCGCUAGCUGCUGUUUCACGUUGCUGCUUAUUGCUGUUUUAAUUAGUUUGUUUAGGUAAAUCUUUCCGAGCUGUUUUUAAACUUGACUUAUUAUUGGGUUACAGUCGGCAUUGUGCAGACGUUGCAGCGAACACUAUCUUUUCUAAUAUUUGGAUGAUCUGUUAGUAAUGCAUUGCCGUAAACAUAUUUUUAGCCCAAGUUUAUUGAAUUAACUGGUUAUCCCUGGAUUGUUAUUUGUAUUGUGCUUUUUUUUUUUUUGCUUCCUUUGUUUUUGAGGCGUAUGUUUACCGCAUAUAUAUCCACUUACGACGAACUGUGAUUAGUGAGGCUUGACAGAGGGAGUGUAUUUGUCUUAUUUUUGGUUUAUCUCUUUUUUUUUUUUUCAAUGUGUUUAAUUAUUAUGCACUGCUUUUGUUGUGUGGUUUGUCCCUCUUGUAAAGGCGGACCUAGUCUAGUUUAUUUAAUUGUCGGUAACUAAUCGGUAAACUGUACAUUUUUAUAUCAAUGUUUAAGAGCAAAUGAUUUUCUUUUUGUUUGUAAAAAGUUGUAUUAAUUUUUUUGGAAAGUCACGUCUGUCUUCAAUCCCAUUGAACCAGCAGGGUCCUUCAUAUUAUUGUAACUUAUUUUUGGUUUAACUUUAUUUUCCUGGGUAACCCAGGUGGCGUAGUCGGUUCUUUUCCCAUUCUUAAUACCUUUUUAGCCAGGAAGGUUGCAUUAGGAAGAAUAUAUAUGUAUGUAUAUGUACAUUGAUGUUACCUGAAUUGUGCUUUGAGUCAGAUCUGUUAAACAUAAGUUUGAUCACUUGAAAUAUUUUUUUUCCUUCAUUCAUAUACAUUAGCUCAUGUUGAUUGGAGACCCUUCUCUUUUGAUAUGCAUUAAGUGGUGUUUAGAGGAAAACACCAGGCCUAAAAAAAAAAAAUUGAGCUUUCCUACUGACGUACGUAUUGUCUUGGUUAGUGGUUGUAGUCACUGUUGUAGACUUUGUAGUAUUUGAUGUAGUGACUGUUGUCAAUACAAAGGAAAAUAGUGUGA
Tachysurus fulvidraco (yellow catfish) is the source of this 1317-nucleotide long non-coding RNA. RefSeq lists it as uncharacterized. Lineage: Eukaryota; Metazoa; Chordata; Actinopteri; Siluriformes; Bagridae. The record is from RefSeq and is a predicted model, not a curated record. The transcript is spliced from 2 exons.